This 778-nucleotide ribosomal RNA is filed under the name uncultured Neocallimastigales. RNAcentral describes it as "partial large subunit ribosomal RNA". It matches the Rfam family "Eukaryotic large subunit ribosomal RNA", at positions 24 to 645 of the family's 3401-position model. Lineage: Eukaryota; Fungi; Neocallimastigomycota; Neocallimastigomycetes; Neocallimastigales. The record is from RNAcentral.
UUAUCUCUGUAGAGUCUGCAUAUCAAUAAGCGGAGGAAAAGAAACUAACUAGGAUUCCCUCAGUAACGGCGAGUGAAGCGGGAAGAGCUCAAAUUUGAAAUCUUCAAGGUUUUACCUUGACGAAUUGUAGUUUAAAGAAGUGUUUUCUGUUGGAGUUUCGGUAAAAGUUCUUUGGAAUAGGACAUCAUAGAGGGUGAGAAUCCCGUAUUUGACCAUUACUUUCCAGCCUGUGUGAUACACUUUCAAAGAGUCGGAUUGUUUGGGAAUGCAGUCCAAAAUGGGUGGUAAAUUUCAUCUAAAGCUAAAUACUUGGCGAGAGACCGAUAGCGAACAAGUACCGUGAGGGAAAGAUGAAAAGAACUUUGAAAAGAGAGUUAAACAGUACGUGAAAUUGUCAAAAGGGAAGCGUUUGACACCAGUGUUGUUUUCUCGAAAAUCAAUUAAAAAUGGCGGGAUUUUGUGUUGUAUUGACUUUAUCAGCUUUCUGCACUUUUUUCUUGUCUUUUUUAAUGCACUUUUCGUUUAACAAGUCAACAUCAGUUUCUUUUGUUGUAAAAAGGUCAUUGGAAGGUGGCUUUCUUUUCGGAGAAAGUGUUUAUAGCCUUUGGCUUCUGCAAUCGGAGAGAUUGAGGUCUGCAGCGUAGAUCCUUCGGGGUUAGAUACAUUUGUGCUAAGUUAUAGCCUUUCAUAGACAACUUGUUGACUAUGAUCAGUCAUGUAGCUUACUCGCUUAUGCUAUUUUACCUACGCUUAGGAUGUUGAUCUCUCACAGUCGAGC